GGGGAAGCCAGGCGCCUGGUCCUGAGGUUACCGGAGCAGUCCUGUGGAGAGGCCCAAGUAGAGGGCAACCAAUUUGCCAGCACCACCUCGUCAACCAUAUGGAUAUCAAUCCUCCAUCUACCUAUUGACUGACCAUCUAAAAAACAUCACAGGGCUUGAGUCACCUGGAUUAUCGCCUCAGACUUCGAAAUGUUCUGUCGGCGGACUCUGUCACCCUCAUGGACCAGCUGCCCGAGCAACUUCGCAAGCUAAGAGAAAAACAAAAACAGGCAACUCUCCCUUUUGGCCUUCGGCACACACUCAACUUUCUGCCCAGGCUCAGAUGCACUAGUUCAAGGCUGUGUUUCCGGUUUGCCAGUGUGGGCUUCAACAACUCGCCACUACCUCAUGUGCUGGGAUUUUCACUGCAUUUGCAAGGCUAACGGACAGAUUUCAGAGCAAGCCUUGAAUCAAGAGACUUUCACAAUUUCCCCCUGGAAGACUGUAACAAGAUA
Hyaena hyaena (striped hyena) is the source of this 494-nucleotide long non-coding RNA. RefSeq lists it as uncharacterized. NCBI's taxonomy places the organism in Eukaryota, Metazoa, Chordata, Mammalia, Carnivora, Hyaenidae. The transcript is spliced from 4 exons. The record is from RefSeq and is a predicted model, not a curated record.